This 860-nucleotide small RNA is filed under the name Rattus norvegicus (Norway rat). RNAcentral describes it as "uncharacterized LOC102547254". The record is from RNAcentral. Lineage: Eukaryota; Metazoa; Chordata; Mammalia; Rodentia; Muridae.
UGCCCUGUCAGGAUAGCGUCCGAAGACUACGCAGGCGCAGUCGCCGCGGCGGUUGGUUGGAAUUGCCACGCGUUUGGGAGCGCGCGUCCUCCGUGGUUUCUUCUGAGGGCUUGGCCGUUAGGGUGGUCCUUCACUCUUCCAACGGCUGGCCGCGGGGCUUCCGGGCUUGUGGUCGAGGCGGGCGUCCUCAGAGGGGCGUGCGCGCAACUUCUUUCAGUAGCCCAUGGGUGGAGACCAGACGCAGCAGGUGCUAGCUGCACAGGGCCUGAGGCCAUAUUUGGGUUUUCAAGAUGGAAGCUGGAAUCCUGCAUGAUUGCUUUGAGGUUGUCAACUUGACUAUUUCUGGAAUGAACUACAAUCCAGACUUGGAAGGUCCACCUGUCGUCCAGAACUUGAGGCUGGGAGUUUCUGACCUGGAUCUUGGCAUGGAGAACUUAAGGCAUAGUGGCUAUGAAUCCCAGGAGACUGAGGCAAGGAGAGCUCUGAGUUAAGGUCAACCUGGGACAAAACAGGUCCCAGAUCCAGCAUGGUGGUACACAUCUUUAAUCUGGGCCACACCUCCUGUUGGAGGGCUACAUAAGGGCACUAGAAGAAGAUUUGCAUUUCUUUACCUGCUUGAGCUUACUUGCCAGCACAUCUGUUGGAAUCUACCAGCCUCGUGGGACUGAGCAACUCUUAGAUCCUUGGACUUCCAUUCACAGGUGACUGUUGUUGGGAGUUGAACUACAGACUGUAAGUCAUCAUAACAAAUCCCCUGACUGUACAGUAUAUCGUAGACUACCCAUAAGUCCUGUGACUCUAGAGAACCCUGACUAAUACAGCCUGCCUACACCAUGCUCGGAGUAAACUUUCUGCAGACA